AAUCAGACAACUAAAUUUCAGUUUGCCUGCUUCUGCAUGCUUGCGACAAAGCUUUGUAAGACACGAAAUGUCCGUCCAGAGCCCUUAUUCUAGCCGUAACUAAUUCUUCCAGCUGUGCCUGUGCCACUUAAAAAGGAAAUCAAAUACGCAAGCACAAACUGCAUCCACUUUCUGGUGUGAGAAGGAAAGCUUUCAUCACAAAAUGUGACGAGAAACAGGCGUGUGGGCGAUGAUUCACAUUUUAAAGAUUACCAUGGAUAUACCACAAGUCUAAAACCGAGGGAAUAAGCUGAGGAGUCAUGGCGAGUCGGAAGAUUUACAAGAGGACGCGGUCGGACUUGCGCAAUGAGCGUCGCCACACCGCCCUCAUGGGGAGCAGGCUGUACACCACCUUCAGCAAUCGGAAGGGUAAAGCGUCGGGCCUGUUGCUGUCUGUGACGAGAUCAGAACCAGC
Molecule: long non-coding RNA, 454 nt
Organism: Patiria miniata (bat star)
Lineage: Eukaryota; Metazoa; Echinodermata; Asteroidea; Valvatida; Asterinidae
Exons: 3
Source: RefSeq, a predicted model, not a curated record